This 223-nucleotide long non-coding RNA is filed under the name Vigna radiata. Its description in RNAcentral is "long non-coding RNA (VRAD_LNC001187)". Lineage: Eukaryota; Viridiplantae; Streptophyta; Magnoliopsida; Fabales; Fabaceae. The record is from RNAcentral.
AAUGGUUGAGUGCACCUAGUUUUGAGUCUAAUUAUCAAAGGAGUACUUUGUUUUAAUUCUAAAUGUGAUUUUUCAUCAAUUAUAGGGUGUAAGGAAUCCAUUUGAUCAUUAGAACAAAACUCAAGUGCAUCAAAGGCCAAUUUCAAAGUGUGUUGUUUACUGUCAUGGGGCUUGAGCGCCUCCUAAGCCCCCUUUUUGCACUAGCUUUGGGCUUGAGUGCCCC